Molecule: unclassified non-coding RNA, 299 nt
Filed under: Hevea brasiliensis (rubber tree)
Lineage: Eukaryota; Viridiplantae; Streptophyta; Magnoliopsida; Malpighiales; Euphorbiaceae
Source: RNAcentral
AACUCAUCUCUUGGGGGAAACCGCCUUCUCCCAGCUGAUGCUUUUCCAUUGUUCCAGGAAGGUAUCGGGUUGGUUUUAUCUCGUUGGUCUGCCCUUCAGUUGGCAGUGGAAAAUGAGUGGGGUGGUCGUGACUCUCGUCGUAAAGUCGAACUAUUAUGCUCCGACAUUUUCACAUGGUUUACUCAGAGCAAAGAGCCACUAUAUAUUGAUGAUUUAGAAAUGAUUCUUGAUGAAGCUAUGCUUUCAUUGAAUACUCAGGUUGAUGACGGUAGCAUUGAGGAGGUAGCUGAAAGAUUGAU